UACGAAGGUCCCAAGCGUUAUCCGGAUUUAUUGGGUUUAAAGGGUGCGUAGGCGGACUUUUAAGUCAGUGGUGAAAGCCCCAAGCUUAACUUGGGAACUGCCAUUGAUACUGAUGGUCUUGAGUACAUUUGAGGUGGGCGGAAUGUGUCAUGUAGCGGUGAAAUGCUUAGAUAUGACACAGAACACCGAUUGCGAAGGCAGCUCACUAAGCUGUAACUGACGCUGAGGCACGAAAGCGUGGGGAGCAAACAGG
Molecule: ribosomal RNA, 253 nt
Filed under: uncultured bacterium
Lineage: Bacteria
Description: partial 16S ribosomal RNA
Rfam family: Bacterial small subunit ribosomal RNA
Source: RNAcentral